GCACUCGGUAAUGUAGUGAUAGAGCACGCGUUCCGAAAUAGGAUGAAAUGCGGGUUCGAUUCCCGCCUGAGGCC
Non-coding RNA from Parelaphostrongylus tenuis, 74 nucleotides. NCBI's taxonomy places the organism in Eukaryota, Metazoa, Nematoda, Chromadorea, Rhabditida, Metastrongylidae. The record is from the annotation of a GenBank genome assembly.